RNAcentral lists this ribosomal RNA (275 nucleotides) under uncultured bacterium. RNAcentral describes it as "partial 16S ribosomal RNA". It matches the Rfam family "Bacterial small subunit ribosomal RNA", at positions 338 to 610 of the family's 1533-position model. The record is from RNAcentral.
CCUACGGGUGGCUGCAGUGAGGAAUAUUGGUCAAUGGACGGAAGUCUGAACCAGCCAUGUCGCGUGCAGGAUGACUGCCCUAUGGGUUGUAAACUGCUUUUGUAUGGGAAGAAAGUGAGGUACGUGUACCUUAUUGCCGGUACCAUACGAAUAAGGAUCGGCUAACUCCGUGCCAGCAGCCGCGGUAAUACGGAGGAUCCGAGCGUUAUCCGGAUUUAUUGGGUUUAAAGGGUGCGUAGGCUGGGGAUUAAGUCAGUGGUGAAAGUUUGCGGCUC